GGGGCUGAGCAAUUUGGGAAGCGCUGAAGUUUUCUGCUCCUGUCCUGUACUGGUUUUCACUAAGCCAACUGUGAGAUUUCUUUGUUGCAAUAUUGGGGUCUGAGAUAACACUGCUGGAGGCUGGAGGCAAGAAACAUAGCCGAAACCAUCUUUUAGUGUGUGCUGUUAUUUACUAGCGCUGUGAACCAAGGAAGCGAAAAAACAAAGAGCCCGAAGACUGCACAGUUCCAGCUUGUAGGCCCUGGAGACAGUCUGGAGUCCUCAGACGGACAGAAAGAAGACAUCAGAAGGGCAACCUGUGGUGCCUGUGGCUGCUGAGUACAGGCGUGGGUGACUGAUUUUUAAGAAAUCGGCAACACGGAAGCUGAUUAUAAAAUAUUCAUAAGAAGCUGGCUUUUACAGCCCAUGUAAAAGGAACCUACAGGAAGAACGAAUGCUGUCACUCAACUUGAUUCUGCCAUUGUCAAGACAUUUGAGUUUCAGAACUUCAUCAUCCAAAGGCAUAAGUAGGUGAUUUCUGGGAUGUCUAGAGCAUUGAGAAACGUGCAAUUCUGAGAUGCUUACUGUGGAACCAUUGCUUGCAUGCAGUAGACUCUUACUUCUGAGCCUUUGUAUAAUUCUGUCCUAUAGUAUGGGAAAAUACUUUCCCAGCUCUCUUCCCAUACUGUCAAAGAGGCAUGGACGAGCUGGUAAGGAGGAGUUUACAGCAAUGGCUACUACCAUCAGGCUACUGACCCAGAGGGCAACGGAAGAGAAGCACAGAAUCUGUGUGUGUGAGUCCGUGGUUUGUAGAUCACUAGGGUAACAAAGAAAAGGGAAUUAGCUUCUGCCAAGGUAAUAUAUAUAAUCAAACACUGCAUGUCACUUUCCAGGGCAGAUUAUCUCAGUAACAGAAAGGAUGAGAAAGGCACAACUCACUACCUCCUUUCUCAUUCCCCGUCUUUGCUUUCUCUGGAUAAAUAUCAUAUGCUUAGUAGUCUGCCACUAACUGCAGUGUGGAGCACAUAAGAGCUGCCAUGGCUCUUCUCAGCCGUUUUCCAUCCGUCACUGAUAUCCCACUGUUCUGGGCUAAUGCGAAAUGCAAUAACGUUUAGCAUCAGAACAUAUCUGAGUCAAGAGGUUAAGGGAAAACACAUCUCCCAUUGUGUUCCAGCAGCUCCGAUACUGUUCAUGGCAAAACACCAUGGAGACAAAUAGAUCUCUCUCUAUUCAGGAAGCUCUGAGUGCACAGAAAAUGUAUGUGACAUCCUUACAGCAUGAGAGCCUUCUCUGUACGGUGCAUUAAAGGCAGGGGUGGCACAGGGGAGAAGUUCACCUAACGUGGUGUCUGAUAAGGCUUGGCCAUUGUCUACAGGGAGGAUUCUGUCUUCUGUAUUUUCUCUGGAUUGCUUUAAUAAACGUGUGCGGUUCUAGCAGGGGAAAGAGAUGCAACCUUUACAGAUAUAACUGGGGGAAAAAGAGGAUUCUGAACAAACAAGGUAAAAAGCUCUAUGUGGUAUUUUUCUUAAUUACAACCCCAAAAGGUAUUAGAUACACACUGACUCUUUUCUUUACAUUCCAUAGGAGUGCAUCUUGCUUCUCUCUGCUGUCUGCUUUAGGCAUGAGGGACACAAAAUCUAUAUAUUUGAGGAAGGCAGACAGACAAAAAAAA
This 1651-nucleotide long non-coding RNA is filed under the name Mus musculus (house mouse). RNAcentral describes it as "Mir100 Mirlet7a-2 Mir125b-1 cluster host gene". Lineage: Eukaryota; Metazoa; Chordata; Mammalia; Rodentia; Muridae. The record is from RNAcentral.